AGCUACGUGUCUGGUCCCGAUUUCGAACAUCUGGCGUAGCCACGACAACAAGCGAAGCAUUCGGCUGAGGGUCACCAGUUAAACCGGUCACGACUUGAACUGAAACACCGGAGCUCCCCAAUCUCUCUUCAAUGAUUAAUUUGAUUCGUUUGGACUGAAGAGACGCUUUACCUGCCGCCGAGCAGCCAGACGGGACAGGAACAGAUCAAACAACCGUAUUAAUUAAUGGUGGUGGCUGCUGGUACUAGCGGCGGCUGCUGCUGCUUGUGUAUGCGGCUGAUGGUGGAUGCUGCUGAAGUUAAUAAUAUUCCUCCCUGUUCCUUAACUUUGUUCUUGUUUUACAAGUUAGAUAUACAUUAGUGCUGUAAGUUAAAUGUGUUAUUAACGGCGUUAA
Long non-coding RNA from Gadus morhua (Atlantic cod), 394 nucleotides. RefSeq lists it as uncharacterized. The transcript has 2 exons. The record is from RefSeq and is a predicted model, not a curated record. NCBI's taxonomy places the organism in Eukaryota, Metazoa, Chordata, Actinopteri, Gadiformes, Gadidae.